GGGUGUAUCGGCACGUGUGCUGUUACGCUUGUCUCCACAUGCUUCCUUGUAUCCUUCGCACUUGCCCUAUCUGUUCCUCAAGUAGAUGCGGAAUCUUCCCUGGAAACAUAAGAUGUUGAAGAUGAGUACUCGAGAGCAAUGCCAGGUAAGUAAUCAAGUAAGGGGUUCCAGGCAGUCAGUUCCUGGCUGGAAGCUUGAUCCAAGUGCUGACUGAUUGCUCUCUUUCUCCUUGUCUUGCAGGUAAAAACAAGGCCAAAGGAAAAGACAGGGAAAAAGCAUGAUAUGGGAUACUCUUGCUUUUAACCCUGAUGAUAUGAGAUAUUCUUGCUCUAGUAUAGCUUGUUUGCAGAGGUAUUAUCGGGGGGAAAGAAAGCUGAAUAUUUCGAAAGGCUUCGUUGGGAGUGCCCUCUCAGAUAUGAUGAAGGGUUGAGCAUUUUUGCAGGUCUGCCUGUCCGUUGGGGAUGGAGGUCGACAUAUAUAGGAGUCUCCCUAACAACAAGUAGUAAUGCUAUUCCUUUACCCUGCUUGGUCAUAGCACGGUAGUGGGAGCUGCCAGUUUCACAUGUUUUAACUCUGUCAGAGCACUUUGAAAAAGUGGUUUGUGGUAUCUGGCUCUCGAGAUUCGGAGAACGAUGCCUCUUCGAUUUUUGAGAAAGCAAUCAUGCUGGGGGUCUGGCUCUCGAGAUUCGUAGAGCAGUGUCUCUUUGAUUUUUGAGGAAGUAAUCAUGUUGGGAGUCUGGCUCUCGAGAUUCGGAGGGCGGUGCCUCUUCGAUUUUGUAGCAAGCAAUCCUGUUGGGAGUGUUGUCUCGAAUGUGAGUAAAGGUUGGGCAUGUUUGCUAGUCUACCUUGCCACGAAGCACAAAGGUUGACACACAGAGACUUUCCAAUUAUCCAGCAAUGGUACUGUUCCUUUACCCUCUCUUCGCUUUUGAGAAAGUAGUCAUGUUGGGAGUCUGGCUCUCGAGAUUCGGAGGACGGUGCCUCUUCGAUUUUGGAGCAAGCAAUCUUGUUGGGAGUGUUUUCUCGAAAGUGAGUAAAGGUUGGGCAUGUUUGCUAGUCUACAUUGCCACGAAGCACAGAGGUUGACACACACAGGGACUUUCCAAUUAUCCAGCAGUGGUACUGUUCCUUUACCCUUGUGGGUAAUAAUAUGGUAGCUAGACCUUCAAAAUUUAUGUGUCUAAACUUUGUUAGUGCUGUUUCUUUGCUAUUCUUUUACCUUUCUUGGUCAGAGCGAUGUAGUGGGAGCUGCAAGCUUCACGUGCUCAACUUUGGCAGAGAACUUUGGCAAAGUUAUCUGUGGUACCCAUGAGCUAUUGUUGCGUGUGGGAAGUGGGUGAUUGAACAGUAAGAUUCAUGUGCUUUCUACUUCACCAAAAGUCUUCGACAGAAAUUCCCAUAAUUUCUGCAAAGCUGAGUGUGCGUGUGACAGGUGCUGACAAGGCUAGAAAAGUAGGUGCCUCUUCGAUUUCUGAGAUCGGCCCUCGUGGUCUCUGAGCAGCCCAGCUUUUGAGAAAGCGAGCGCCUCUUCGAUUGAUUCGGAGAACGAUGCCUCAUCGAUUUUUGAGAAAGCAAUCAUGCUGGGGGUCUGGCUCUCGAAGAUUCGGGGAGCAGUGUCUCUUCGAUUUUUGAGAAAGUAAUCACGUUGGGAGUCUGGCUCUCGAGAUUCGGAGGGCGGUGCCUCUUCGAUUUUGGAGCAAGCAAUCUUGUUGGGAGUGUUUUCUCGAAUGUGAGUAAAGGUUGGGCAUGUUUGCUAGUCUACCUUGCCACGAAGCACAGAGGUUGACACACAGGGACUUUCCAAUUAUCCAGCAAUGGUACUGUUCCUUUACCCUCUCUUUGAUUUUUAAAGAAAGUAGUCAUGUUGGGAGUCUGGCUCUCGAGAUUCGGAGGACGGUGCCUCUUCGAUUUUGGAGCAAGCAAUCUUGUUGGGAGUGUGUUUUCUCGAAUGUGAGUAAAGGUUGGGCAUGUUUGCUAGUCUACCUUGCCACGAAGCACAGAGGUUGACACACAGGGACUUUCCAAUUAUCCAGCAGUGGUACUGUUCCUUUACCCUUGUGGGUAAUAAUAUGGUAGCUAGACCUUCAAAAUUUAUGGGUCUAAACUUUGUUAAUGCUGUUUCUUUGCUAUUCUUUUACCCUUCUUGGUCAGAGCGAUGUAGUGGGAGCUGCAAGCUUCACGUGCUCAACUUUGGCAGAGAACUUUGGCAAAGUUAUCUGUGGUACCCAUGAGCUAUUGUUGCGUGUGGGAAGUGGGUGAUUGAACAGUAAGAUUCAUGUGUUUUCUACUUCCCCAGAAGUCUUCGACAGAAUGCCCAUAAUUUCUGCAAAGCUGAGUGUGCGUGUGACGGGUGCUGACAAGGCUGGAAAAGUAGGUGCCUCUUCGAUUUCUGAGAUCGGCCCUCGUGGUCUCUGGGGAGCCCAGCUUUUGAGAAAGCGAGCGCCUCUUCGAUUUCUGAGAUCGGCCUUCGUGGUCUUUGAGCAGCCCAACUUUUGAGAAAGCAAACGCCUCUUCGAUUUCUGAGAUCAACCCUCGUGAUCUCUAAGCAGCCCAGCUUUUGAGAAAGCAAACGCCUCUUCGAUUUCUGAGCAGGCGCCUCUUCGAUUUCCGAAGCUCCGUCGAGUGCAGAUUUUUAUAGAGGCUGACAUUAAGUUCCAAAGCACACUUGAAAUCCACCAGUAGAAGCUUCAUUCUUGCACUUCUAAGAUCUUGAUUUGUCCGACCUCUUCUCUCUUCAACACCUUUGAAAAUGUCUGGCCCCUCCGACCGUCGUUUUGACUUGAACCUUGUUGAAGAGGCAGCCCCGCCUUCUCCAGACAACAUAUGGCGCCCAUCCUUCGUCUCUCCUACUGGUCCUCUUACCGUUGGGGAUUCCGUGAUGAAGAAUGAUAUGACCGCUGCGGUGGUGGCCAGGAACCUUCUCACUCCCAAAGAUAACAGACUACUUUCCAAACGGUCUGAUGAGUUAGCUGUUAAGGAUUCGCUGGCUCUCAGUGUGCAGUGUGCAGGUUCUGUGUCUAAUAUGGCCCAACGCCUAUUUGCUCGAACCCGCCAAGUUGAAUCCUUGGCGGCUGAAGUGAUGAGUCUCAAACAGGAGAUUAGAGGGCUCAAGCAUGAGAAUAAACAGUUGCACCGGCUCGCACAUGACUAUGCUACAAACAUGAAGAGGAAGCUUGACCAGAUGAAGGAAACUGAUGGUCAGGUUUUACUUGAUCAUCAGAGAUUUGUGGGUUUGUUCCAAAGGCAUUUAUUGCCUUCGUCUUCUGGGGCUGUACCGCGUAAUGAAGCUCCGAAUGAUCAACCUCUGAUGCCUCCUCCUUCUAGGGUUCUGUCCAGUACUGAGGCUCCAAAUGAUCCCCCUCCGGUGCCUUCUCUUUCUGGGGCUCUACCGACUGCUGAGACUUCUCCUAAGCAACCUUUGUGAAGGCUCCGUCUUGUGUGUUUAUUUUGACUCAUGUAUAUGUACAUAUUUGUAGCUGAUCGGGGAUAUCAAUAAAUAAGCUUUCCUUCAUUUCAACGUAUUGUGUUAAAUACACCAAAGCCUUCUUCGCUAAGUUCUUUGAAUUUUCUUUUGUUGAAGCUUGUAUGUUGAAGCUUUCUGAGUGGAGCAUGUAGGUUGGGGUAGUGUUCCCUUAAUUUCCCGAGUGAGGAAAACUUCUCGAUUGGAGACUUGGAAAAUCCAAGUCACUGAGUGGGAUCGGCUAUAUGAAUCUUAGAACGCCAUUGUGCUCGAUCCUGUGUCAUGUCCUUCCGUUAGAUCCAAGUACUCUAAGUCUUUUCUUAGAGUCUCUUCCAAAGUUUUCCUAGGUCUUCCUCUACCCCUUCGGCCCUGAACCUCUGUCCCAUAGUCGCAUCUUCUAAUCGGAGCGUCAGUAGGCCUUCUUUGCACAUGUCCAAACCACCGUAACCGAUUUUCUCUCAUCUUUCCUUCAAUUUCGGCUACUCCUACUUUACCCCGGAUAUCCUCAUUCCUAAUCUUAUCCUUUCUCGUGUGCCCACACAUCCAACGAAGCAUCCUCAUCUCCGCUACACCCAUUUUGUGUACGUGUUGAUGUUUCACCGCCCAACAUUCUGUGCCAUACAGCAUCGCCGGCCUUAUUGCCGUCCUAUAAAAUUUUCCCUUGAGCUUCAAUGGCAUACGGCGGUCACACAACACACCGGAUGCACUCUUCCACUUCAUCCAUCCAGCUUGUAUCCAGCCUUAGUAUAACAUUGGGUUAAAAAAAAUUAACAUAUGAAAAUUUGAAAACCCUGAUAAUUCAAGAUAAUGAAGUGUGAAUUACCCUUAAUAUUAAUAUAAAUCACCAACACAAAUGCUUGGUGUAGAACAGGGCCACAUCUACUACCUUUAGUUGGGAAGAGAGAGAGUUAUUCUCCCCCAAGUAAAGGAGUGGUUGAAAAUAUCUUGAACCAUGUACUUUCUCUAUAUAUGAGACAGUGUAGAAAUGUAAAAGAUGAACCCUAACCUACUUCCUUACUAUAAAUCGUUUGUAAAAAGAUGAACCCUAAAACCUGUGCUAUCGCAUCACUCAUUCAAGUCUAUUGCCUUUAGCUCCCAACCUCAAAAUUGAAACGAGAGAGAGAGGCUUUACUGCAGCGAGUCGGGUGAUGACCGACUGGUGACUGGUUAUUGACUCACAAGCCUCUCUCUCACAUUGGUGACUGGCUAAUGCAGCAGCGUAUCAAUAUUCAUGUCUCUCUCAUCCCUCAUUACCGUACCAUCUGGCUGACAGCUGUGAGCAUAUUCUGGUUGGGGCCAUGAACUGCUCCCUACAACCCUAGGUGUACAUUAUAAAAGAGGUGAUAUCCGUUUUUGCUCAACAACAACAACAACAACAAAGCCUUUUCCCACUAAGUGGGGUCGGCUAUAUGAAUCCUAGAACGCCAUUGCGCUCGGUUUUGUGUCAUGUCAUCCGUUAGAUCCAAGUACUCUAAGUCUUUUCUUAGAGUCUCUUCCAAAGUUUUCUUAGGUCUUCCUCUACCCCUUCGGCCCUGAACCUCUGUCCCGUAGUCAUAUCUUCGAACCGGAGCGUCAGUCGGCCUUCUUUGCACAUGUCCAAAUCACCGGAGCCGAUUUUCUCUCAUCUUUCCUACAAUUUCGGCUACUCCUACUUUACCUCGGAUAUCCUCAUUCCCAAUCUUAUCCUUUCUCGUGUGCCCACACAUCCCACGAAGCAUCCUCAUCUCCGCUACACCCAUUUUGUGUACGUGUUGAUGCUUCACCGCCCAACAUUCUGUGCCAUACAACAUCGCUGGCCUUAUUGCCGUCCUACAAAAUUUUCCCUUGAGCUUCAGUGGCCUACGACGGUCACACAACACGCCGGAUGCGCUCUUACACUUCAUCCAUCCAGCUCGUAUUCUAUGGUUGAGAUUUCCAUCUAAUUCUCCGUUCUCUUGCAAGAUAGAUCCUAGGUAGCGAAAACGGUCGCUUUUUUGUGAUCUUCGCUAGAUUGCUCCGGUCAUUAGUGUGGAUAAGUAUAUAAAUGGAUAGAGAUAGGAAAGCAAACACAAGAUGUACGUGGUUCACCCAGAUUGGCUACGUCCACGGAAUAGAAGAGUUCUCAUUAAUUGUGAAGGGUUUACACAAGUACAUAGGUUCAAGCUCUCCUUUAGUGAGUACAAGUGAAUGAUUUAGUACAAAUGACAUUAGGAAAUAUUGUGGGAGAAUGAUCUCGUAAUCACGAAACUUCUAAGUAUCGGAGUGUGGUGUCGUCUUGACUUGCCUUAUCUGUCUCAUAGGUAGAUGUGGCAUCUUCUCUGGAAGUACUUUUCCUCCAUCCAGGGGUGGUAUCUUUAACUGGUGGAGAUGCACAAGGUAAUGUAUCAAUUUCACUUGAAGCUUACUUGUAGUUUCAGGCUUGGUCAAGCGCGAUACAAACCAUGUAGUAGGAGUCCCCCAAGUCGCCGAGCUAGGGGGUCUGCUGAAAGAGGUGACAGACAAGGUAAGCAAUCAGAGCUCCGACUGAUUGUUCACCUUCUCCCCAUCUUGCAAGCAGCAUGAAGGAUAAAGAGAAGAAAAAUGAGAAGAGAUGAUAUGAGAUACUUUUGCUUUUGAAGAAGUAACUUUCCACAGGCUUAUUCUUGAACUGAGCUGGAGGGUUUUCUGGUUUCCUCCAGAGUAUAAGGCCGACUGAAGAAUUUGAGGGUCAAAACAAGUCCAUCAAAUCUAGAGUACGUUCCACCCUGCUGAUAUGGGAUACUUUUGCUUUUGACAGAGUAAUGGAUGUAUCGGCACGUGUGCUGUUACGCUUGUCUCCACAUGCUUCCUUGUAUCCUUCGCACUUGCCCUAUCUGUUCCUCAAGCAGAUGCGGAAUCUUCCCUGGAAACAUAAGAUGUUGAAGAUGAGUACUCGAGAGCAAUGCCAGGUAAGUAAUCAGGUAAGGGGUUCCAGGCAGUCAGUUCCUGGCUGGAAGCUUGAUUCCAAGUGCUGACUGAUUGCUCUCUUUCUCCUUGUCUUGCAGGUAAAAACAAGGCCAAAGGAAAAGACAGGGAAAAAGCAUGAUAUGGGAUACUCUUGCUUUUAACCCUGAUGAUAUGAGAUAUUCUUGCUCUAGUAUAGCUUGUUUGCAGAGGUAUUAUCGGG
Molecule: long non-coding RNA, 6584 nt
Filed under: Malus domestica (apple)
Lineage: Eukaryota; Viridiplantae; Streptophyta; Magnoliopsida; Rosales; Rosaceae
Description: long non-coding RNA (MDOM_LNC007366)
Source: RNAcentral